GUUGCAUGUGGUUGAGUAUUUCGAUCAUCUCUAGCUAAGUGGAGAAGAUAUAGGUUGAUCGUCACGGACCGUACGUAACAUCAACCCUUUGUCAUCACCACCUGAGAUACCGUUGUUCACUUCAUACGCUCGCGUCGAGAUCCAUUACUGUUGGAUUUGUUCGGUAAGGAACCCUAACUUGUGCAUGUCUUUGGUUUUUAGGUUGUUUUAAUAUGUUGCUUAUGCAGGACGUUAUCUGAAAGCUUAAGUUGAGUCUCGUUGUUGCAGGUGCAAGUUAGGUCGUCGCUGGUUUCUUCAUCUGCGAGGCCCUGUUUCUGUUGAGCUUGUUGCUUCGUAUACAAGCCAGGUCGUGUCUGUUGUGCUGUUUCUGGUUGCUUCGUCUAGAAGCCACGUCGUAUCUGUUGUGUCGUAUCUGUUGUUAAGAAGAUGUUGGAAAGUUUAGCGGAGUAUCAUCAACAAGUAAAGACCACGGAAGAAACUGCGUUAGAAACAGAGGAAUAUAAGCUUCAUCAGCUUCUUGUGUGUUUCGAAGAAUCAUUCUA
This 542-nucleotide long non-coding RNA is filed under the name Capsella grandiflora. Its description in RNAcentral is "long non-coding RNA (CGRA_LNC001705)". Lineage: Eukaryota; Viridiplantae; Streptophyta; Magnoliopsida; Brassicales; Brassicaceae. The record is from RNAcentral.